RNAcentral lists this transfer RNA (77 nucleotides) under Acidobacteriota bacterium. RNAcentral describes it as "Acidobacteria bacterium tRNA-Arg". It matches the Rfam family "tRNA". Rfam says of the family: Transfer RNA (tRNA) molecules are approximately 80 nucleotides in length. Their secondary structure includes four short double-helical elements and three loops (D, anti-codon, and T loops). RNAcentral also lists the same sequence under 6 other names. The record is from RNAcentral. Lineage: Bacteria; Pseudomonadati; Acidobacteriota.
GCAUCCGUAGCUCAAUUGGAUAGAGCAUCUGACUACGGAUCAGAAGGUUUCAGGUUCAACUCCUGACGGAUGCGCCA